Molecule: transfer RNA, 587 nt
Filed under: Candidatus Liberibacter asiaticus
Lineage: Bacteria; Pseudomonadati; Pseudomonadota; Alphaproteobacteria; Hyphomicrobiales; Rhizobiaceae
Description: partial 16S-23S ribosomal RNA intergenic spacer
Rfam family: tRNA (bases 300-372)
Source: RNAcentral
UGCGGCUGGAUCACCUCCUUUCUAAGGAAGAUGUUGAGUAUCAUUGAAUUUAUUGAGUGAUCUGAACGUUUUUUGAAGAUUAAAGCUUUUAAUUAAGCUUGAUAUAAAUUUGCUGUUGUGAAGCAGCGUUUUUAAAAGGAUCGCCGUCCAUGUUUCUCUUUCUUUUCGGAUUUUUUGCGAUGAUGGGGGGUCGUUAAUAUUUGGUUUUGAGGGCCCGUAGCUCAGGUGGUUAGAGUGCACCCCUGAUAAGGGUGAGGUCGGUAGUUCAAAUCUACCUGGGCCCACCACUUUUUGUUCAGGGGGCCGUAGCUCAGUCGGUAGAGCGCCUGCUUUGCAAGCAGGAUGCCAGCGGUUCGAUUCCGCUCGGCUCCACCAUUGGCGUAAUUAUGGAAUUUUGUUCUGAUUUUUUGGAGCAAGAGUUUUUUGAAAAUUGAAUAGAAGAUAUAUUUUUUUGUAUUUUUUAUGUUGGCAUUGUAUGCGACAUAUAAGAUACCGGCGUUGUUAACCGCACGUUGAGAAUUUAUCUCAGGAAAUUGGUCUAUUGAAGAAGCAUAAGGAUAUUAUGUUUUUUUUAAUAAUAAAGAGUU